This is a long non-coding RNA of Triticum aestivum (bread wheat), 312 nucleotides long. RefSeq lists it as uncharacterized. The record is from RefSeq and is a predicted model, not a curated record. NCBI's taxonomy places the organism in Eukaryota, Viridiplantae, Streptophyta, Magnoliopsida, Poales, Poaceae. The transcript has 3 exons.
AAGGAUAGGGCGUGUGGCAGCUGUGAGGGAAAGAGAAGCAGGUUACCAUGGGGGCGUGUGGGACAAAUCUCUAAUGUACCAGGAUCCUUGCUUGCUGGCAUGCACAUCAAUUAUUAGCCAAAAUUUAAUACUAAAGUGGGUGAAGUUUCUGCACAUGGUUGUUAGUCAGCUGUAAAUAUUGCAGCAUUUCAACCAAGUCUAUAGAGGCAAGUAAUUUGAUUGCCAGUAUGCUGUUUGUGGCUUUUAUGGCUGUCACAUUUUGGCCUGACAACAGUUUCCUACAUCAUUAUUGCCUAUAGGGUUCCUUCGCUU